This 511-nucleotide ribosomal RNA is filed under the name uncultured bacterium. RNAcentral's name for it is "bacterial SSU rRNA". It matches the Rfam family "Bacterial small subunit ribosomal RNA", at positions 29 to 518 of the family's 1533-position model. The record is from RNAcentral.
AACGAACGCUGGCGGCGUGCUUAACACAUGCAAGUCGAACGCGAAAGGGAACUUCGGUCCUGAGUAAAGUGGCGCACGGGUGAGUAACGCGUAGAUAACCUGUCUUCAUGUCUGGAAUAAUACGCCGAAAGGGGUACUAAUACCGGAUAUUCUUGCUUUUCAUAAGUUAUGCAAGCAAAGGUGGCCUCUGCAUAUGCUACUGCAUGAAGAGGGGUCUGCGUACCAUUAGCUAGUAGGUGGGGUAAUGGCCUACCUAGGCGACGAUGGUUAGCGGGUCUGAGAGGAUGAUCCGCCACACUGGCACUGGAACACGGGCCAGACUCCUACGGGAGGCAGCAGUGAGGAAUAUUGCGCAAUGGGGGAAACCCUGACGCAGCGACGCCGCGUGAGUGAGGAAGGCCUUCGGGUCGUAAAGCUCUGUCAAGAGGAAAGAAGUGUACAAUGGCUAAUACCUGUUGUAUUUGACGGUACCUCUAAAGGAAGCACCGGCUAACUCCGUGCCAGCCGCCGC